CGGACGGGUGAGUAACGCGUGAGAAUCUGGCUCCAGGUCGGGGACAACAGUUGGAAACGACUGCUAAUACCGGAUGUGCCGAGAGGUAAAAGGCUUGCUGCCUGGAGAUGAGCUCGCGUCUGAUUAGCUAGUUGGUGUGGUAAGAGCGCACCAAGGCGACGAUCAGUAGCUGGUCUGAGAGGAUGAUCAGCCACACUGGGACUGAGACACGGCCCAGACUCCUACGGGAGGCAGCAGUGGGGAAUUUUCCGCAAUGGGCGAAAGCCUGACGGAGCAAUACCGCGUGAGGGAGGAAGGCUCUUGGGUUGUAAACCUCUUUUCUCAAGGAAUAAGUUCUGAAGGUACUUGAGGAAUAAGCAUCGGCUAACUCCGUGCCAGCAGCCGCGGUAAUACGGAGGAUGCAAGCGUUAUCCGGAAUGAUUGGGCGUAAAGGGUCCGCAGGUGGCAAUGUAAGUCUGCUGUCAAAGAAUCACGCUCAACGUGAUCAAGGCAGUGGAAACUACGUAGCUAGAGUACGGUCGGGGUAGAAGGAAUUCCUGGUGUAGCGGUGAAAUGCGUAGAGAUCAGGAAGAACACCGGUGGCGAAAGCGUUCUGCUAGGCCUGUACUGACACUGAGGGACGAAAGCUAGGGGAGCGAAUGGGAUUAGAUACCCCAGUAGUCAC
Molecule: ribosomal RNA, 664 nt
Filed under: Nostoc sp. PUPCCC 405.25
Lineage: Bacteria; Bacillati; Cyanobacteriota; Cyanophyceae; Nostocales; Nostocaceae
Description: bacterial SSU rRNA
Rfam family: Bacterial small subunit ribosomal RNA
Source: RNAcentral